Small nucleolar RNA from Hemicordylus capensis (graceful crag lizard), 90 nucleotides. RefSeq annotates it as small nucleolar SNORD12/SNORD106. The record is from RefSeq and is a predicted model, not a curated record. NCBI's taxonomy places the organism in Eukaryota, Metazoa, Chordata, Lepidosauria, Squamata, Cordylidae. The transcript has a single exon.
UCAGUGGUACAUGAUGACUAACUUUUUUCCCCAUCAGAUCGGCAAUGCUGAUAAAAACUUGCUUCUAGCCAGUUGGUCUGAUUCCACUGA